GGAGAAGGGGGCGGAAUUUAGGGGGCUUCAGCGCCGAGGGCGCGGGGGGCGCGACAGCCUCGUUGGGAGCGCGCGGAGGCCUGUGUGUCUGCACACGCUGCCCUCCGGAGCCAGGGGCGCAGCGGUCAGGAGAGGGGGCCGAGGCGGAGCGGAGGGUGCGGCCCCUGGGAUGUGCGCUUGGAAGAUUCUCCAGUGAGUCUCCUGGGCCCUGAUUUCAGGCAGAGCCGUCCUGUUUGUUUUCCCUGUUAUGAGGUUUCUCCUCUUCAGCCCCUCUUGGACCUCCAUUGCUAGCUGAACAAAGGCGGUGAAUCUUCAUCCUGAUCCAUCAAUCCUUCUGAAUCCCAUAAUGAGCUCACCAGUACAGCCCGGUCAGACUCCUUGCUUUAUACUAUGGGAACAGACUUUAGGUAAAGAAUGUUUCUUUGUGUUGCUUCAAGAUAUGCAA
Molecule: long non-coding RNA, 445 nt
Filed under: Cavia porcellus (domestic guinea pig)
Lineage: Eukaryota; Metazoa; Chordata; Mammalia; Rodentia; Caviidae
Description: lncRNA (ENSCPOG00000032566.1)
Source: RNAcentral